This 1417-nucleotide ribosomal RNA is filed under the name Microlichus sp. AD759. RNAcentral's name for it is "eukaryotic LSU rRNA". It matches the Rfam family "Eukaryotic large subunit ribosomal RNA", at positions 73 to 1269 of the family's 3401-position model. Lineage: Eukaryota; Metazoa; Arthropoda; Arachnida; Sarcoptiformes; Epidermoptidae. The record is from RNAcentral.
GAUUCCCUUAGUAACGGCGAGCGAACAGGGAAUAGUCCAGCGCCAAGUCUUGACAUUYGACAUGUUCAAGAGAUGCGGCGUUUAUGUAUUGGCGCAUCGUGCAUUGCUUUAGAUUCCAAGUUCCUUUGACAGGGACAUCCAGAGCGGGUGCUAGGCCCAUAGGGAUCAAAAGCCGAUGUACGCCGGUCAAUACAUUCUAGAGUCAGGUUGCUUGAGAGUGCAGCUUAAAGUCGGUGGUAAACUCCAUCCAAGACUAAAUAUGACAGCGAGACCGAUAGCAAACAAGUACCGUGAGGGAAAGUUGCAAAGCACUUUGAAGAGAGAGUUCAACAGUACGUGAAACCACUGGGAGGCAAACAGAUGGAACCACGAAGUUGCGCCUCGGUCGAUUCAAUCAAUCGCCAACGGCCAACAAGUGUUGGUUGGUGGGUCUUUUCGGAGAUCACCCCAAUGCUGUUGAGUCGCGAGCGUUGGUGCAUUUCGUACCGAGGAUGCUAAGCCACGUUCGACUAGAUAGUUGGGACGGCCGUAGGAUAGGAUCCGAGAAAGGUGCCCGUCAGGUGCUUGCACUUGGCGGCGUUAUAGUCUCGGAUCGGAACCGUCGCCAAACAUACUGGUCGAUGCAAUUGCUCCGAAAGGAGUAGAACUGUGUUUGCUGGUGAUCAUCAGUCGAUGUUUCGGAAUGUUCUUUGCGUAUCGUGAGGUGCGAAAAGCCGUUCCAACAAUGUUGGCUUAUGGUUGCCUGCGUUGCACGGUAGAACUGUGGCGCGAGUAGGUCGGUGUCCAUCUGACCCGUCUUGAAACACGGACCAAGGAGCCUAUCAUAUACGCGAGUCGCUCGGUCUUGUUUAGGCCCGGGAGGCGAAAUGAAAGUAAAGCUACGAGGCUUCGGUCGCAGUAGCGGCCCGCCUACUCCGUUUAUUGGCGGUAGGGCGGAGCUGGAGCGUAUACGAUGGUACCCGAAAGAUGGUGAACUAUGCCUGGGCAAGACGAAGCCAGAGGAAACUCUGGUGGAGGUCUGUAGCGAUUCUGACGUGCAAAUCGAUCGUCAGACCUGGGUAUAGGGGCGAAAGACUAAUCGAACCAUCUAGUAGCUGGUUCCCUCCGAAGUUUCCCUCAGGAUAGCAGGCGCUUAUUGUUGUUCAGUCUCAUCCGGUAAAGCUAAUGAUUAGAGGUCUUGGGGUUGAAACGACCUCAACCUAUUCUCAAACUUUAAAUGGGUGAGAUGGUCGACUUGCUUGAUUGAAGCCGACCAAUUGGAUGAGAGUGCCUAGUGGGCCAUUUUUGGUAAGCAGAACUGGCGCUGUGGGAUGAACCAAACGUCGAGAUAAGGCAUCAAAUGCAUACGCUCAUCAGACCCCAUAAAAGGUGUUGGUUGCUAUAGACAGCAGGACGGUGGCCAUGGAAGUCGGAAUCC